Molecule: ribosomal RNA, 463 nt
Filed under: Vreelandella stevensii
Lineage: Bacteria; Pseudomonadati; Pseudomonadota; Gammaproteobacteria; Oceanospirillales; Halomonadaceae
Description: partial 16S ribosomal RNA
Rfam family: Bacterial small subunit ribosomal RNA
Source: RNAcentral
CUACGGGGGGCAGCAGUGGGGAAUAUUGGACAAUGGGCGAAAGCCUGAUCCAGCCAUGCCGCGUGUGUGAAGAAGGCCUUCGGGUUGUAAAGCACUUUCAGUGGGGAAGAAAGCCUUGGGGCUAAUACCCUCGAGGAAGGACAUCACCCACAGAAGAAGCACCGGCUAACUCCGUGCCAGCAGCCGCGGUAAUACGGAGGGUGCGAGCGUUAAUCGGAAUUACUGGGCGUAAAGCGCGCGUAGGCGGUCUGAUAAGCCGGUUGUGAAAGCCCCGGGCUCAACCUGGGAACGGCAUCCGGAACUGUCAGGCUAGAGUGCAGGAGAGGAAGGUAGAAUUCCCGGUGUAGCGGUGAAAUGCGUAGAGAUCGGGAGGAAUACCAGUGGCGAAGGCGGCCUUCUGGACUGACACUGACGCUGAGGUGCGAAAGCGUGGGUAGCAAACAGGAUUAGAUACCCUAGUAGU